Molecule: ribosomal RNA, 325 nt
Filed under: uncultured eukaryote
Lineage: Eukaryota
Description: partial 18S ribosomal RNA
Rfam family: Eukaryotic small subunit ribosomal RNA
Source: RNAcentral
CCCUUAGAUGUUCUGGGCCGCACGCGUGCUACACUGGUGAAUACAGCGAGUCUUAACCUUAACCGAAAUGGUUUGGGUAAUCUUGUGAAAGUUCAUCGUGACAGGGAUUGAUCAUUGCAAUUAUUGAUCAUGAACGAGGAAUUCCUAGUAAAGGCGAGUCAUCAUCUCGCUUUGAUUACGUCCCUGCCCUUUGUACACACCGCCCGUCGCUACUACCGAUUGAAUACUCAGGUGAGCCAUUCGGACCUUCAUCAUGCUGGUUUCCAGUUUUGAUGAAGGAAAGUCUUGCGAACCUUAUCAUUUAGAGGAAGGAGAAGUCGUAACA